UAUGACGCUGGCGGAUGCUUAACACAUGCAAGUCGUGCGGUAACACUUCGGGUGACGAGCGGCGGACGGGUGCGUAACGCGUGAGAAUCUACCUUUUAGUGGGGGACAACUCGGGGAAACUCGGGCUAAUACCGCAUAUGUCCUACGGGAUAAAGCAGGGGACCUUCGGGCCUUGCGCUAAAAGAUGAGCUCGCGUGAGAUUAGCUUGUUGGUGAGGUAAAGGCUCACCAAGGCAACGAUCUCUAGCUGGUCUGAGAGGAUGAUCAGCCACACA
RNAcentral lists this ribosomal RNA (274 nucleotides) under uncultured Gammaproteobacteria bacterium. RNAcentral describes it as "partial 16S ribosomal RNA". It matches the Rfam family "Bacterial small subunit ribosomal RNA", at positions 32 to 314 of the family's 1533-position model. Lineage: Bacteria; Pseudomonadati; Pseudomonadota; Gammaproteobacteria. The record is from RNAcentral.